AGUCAAUAGAUACCCGGGUAGUCCAUGCCGUAAACGAUGAUUGCUAGGUGUGGGGGGUCUGACCCCUUCCGUGCCGGAGUUAAACACAAAUAAGCAAUCCACCUGGGGAGUACGGCCGCAAGGUUGAAACUCAAAGGAAUUGACGGGGGCCCGCACAAGCAGUGGAGUAUGUGGUUUAAUUCGAAGCAACGCGAAGAACCUUACCAGGUCUUGACAUCCACCGAAUCCUGUAGAGAUACGGGAGUGCCCUUCGGGGAACGGUGAGACAGGUGGUGCAUGGUUGUCGUCAGCUCGUGUCGUGAGAUGUUGGGUUAAGUCCCGCAACGAGCGCAACCCUUGUGAAUAGUUGCUACGAAACGAGCACUCUAUUCAGACCGCCGUUGACAAAACGGAGGAAGGUGGGGAUGACGUCAAAUCAUCAUGCCCCUUAUGACCUGGGCUACACACGUACUACAAUGGUCGUCAACAGAGGGAAGCAAGACCGCGAGGUGGAGCGAACCCCUAAAAACCGAUCUCAGUUCAGAUUGCAGGCUGAAA
Molecule: ribosomal RNA, 537 nt
Filed under: uncultured bacterium
Lineage: Bacteria
Description: bacterial SSU rRNA
Rfam family: Bacterial small subunit ribosomal RNA
Source: RNAcentral